CUGAAUUUCUACCCUCAUCUGGAGGAACAUUUAAUAUCUCUGUCAGUGGGGACAUUGAUGGUUUAAUUACUCAGGCUUUGCUGACGGGCAAUUUUGAGAGUGCUGUUGACCUUUGUUUACAUGAUAACCGCAUGGCCGAUGCCAUUAUAUUGGCCAUAGCAGGUGGACAAGAACUCUUGGCUCGAACCCAGAAAAAAUACUUCGCAAAAUCCCAAAGCAAAAUUACCAGGCUCAUCACUGCAGUGGUGAUGAAGAACUGGAAAGAGAUUGUUGAGUCUUGUGAUCUUAAAAAUUGGAGAGAGGCUUUAGCUGCAGUAUUGACUUAUGCAAAGCCGGAUGAAUUUUCAGCCCUUUGUGAUCUUUUGGGAACCAGGCUUGAAAAUGAAGGAGAUAGCCUCCUGCAGACUCAAGCAUGUCUCUGCUAUAUUUGUGCAGGGAAUGUAGAGAAAUUAGUUGCAUGUUGGACUAAAGCUCAAGAUGGAAGCCACCCUUUGUCACUUCAGGAUCUGAUUGAGAAAGUUGUCAUCCUGCGAAAAGCUGUGCAACUCACUCAAGCCAUGGACACUAGUACUGUAGGAGUUCUCUUGGCUGCGAAGAUGAGUCAGUAUGCCAAUUUGUUGGCAGCUCAGGGCAGUAUUGCUGCAGCCUUGGCUUUUCUUCCUGACAACACCAACCAGCCAAAUAUCAUGCAGCUUCGUGACAGACUUUGUAGAGCACAAGGAGAGCCUGUAGCAGGACAUGAAUCACCUAAAAUUCCGUACGAGAAACAGCAGCUCCCCAAGGGCAGGCCUGGACCAGUUGCUGGCCACCACCAGAUGCCAAGAGUUCAAACUCAACAAUAUUAUCCCCAUGGAGAAAAUCCUCCACCUCCGGGUUUCAUAAUGCAUGGAAAUGUUAAUCCAAAUGCUGCUGGUCAGCUUCCCACAUCUCCAGGUCAUAUGCACACCCAGGUACCACCUUAUCCACAGCCACAGCCUUAUCAACCAGCCCAGCCGUAUCCCUUCGGAACAGGGGGGUCAGCAAUGUAUCGACCUCAGCAGCCUGUUGCUCCUCCUACUUCAAACGCUUACCCUAACACCCCUUACAUAUCUUCUGCUUCUUCCUAUACUGGGCAGUCUCAGCUGUACGCAGCACAGCACCAGGCCUCUUCACCUACCUCCAGCCCUGCUACUUCUUUCCCUCCUCCCCCUUCCUCUGGAGCAUCCUUCCAGCAUGGCGGACCAGGAGCUCCACCAUCAUCUUCAGCUUAUGCACUGCCUCCUGGAACAACAGGUACACUGCCUGCUGCCAGUGAGCUGCCUGCGUCCCAAAGAACAGGUCCUCAGAAUGGUUGGAAUGACCCUCCAGCUUUGAACAGAGUACCCAAAAAGAAGAAGAUGCCUGAAAACUUCAUGCCUCCUGUUCCCAUCACAUCACCAAUCAUGAACCCGUUGGGUGACCCCCAGUCACAAAUGCUGCAGCAACAGCCUUCAGCUCCAGUACCACUGUCAAGCCAGUCUUCAUUCCCACAGCCACAUCUUCCAGGUGGCCAGCCCUUCCAUGGCGUACAGCAACCUCUUGGUCAAACAGGCAUGCCACCAUCUUUUUCAAAGCCCAAUAUUGAAGGUGCCCCAGGGGCUCCUAUUGGAAAUACCUUCCAGCAUGUGCAGUCUUUGCCAAC
This 1660-nucleotide long non-coding RNA is filed under the name Homo sapiens (human). RNAcentral describes it as "long non-coding RNA NONHSAT200144.1". Lineage: Eukaryota; Metazoa; Chordata; Mammalia; Primates; Hominidae. The record is from RNAcentral.